CGAAAUUCUGCAAUGUGUGAUAAAUAGAUGAGUCUAAUAGCAGACCAGAAUUCUUUUGGAACCAACUCAGUUAAACCAUGAGACUAAAAUUAGAUAAAUGGAAAGAGGACCACCAAAGAAUACAAGUUUGUCUGCGAUUAAAUACAAAUUUGUGUUUGUUUAGUUGCUGGUCCUAGUUGGGAUGGUUUUUAUGAUGAGUUGACUUUCUCUUUUAAUUUUUGGUCAUUGUAGCAAAUGACAAAGAAUGAAUGUAAUAUGGGAAUGCUUA
RNAcentral lists this small RNA (268 nucleotides) under Drosophila mojavensis. RNAcentral's name for it is "GI26131". Lineage: Eukaryota; Metazoa; Arthropoda; Insecta; Diptera; Drosophilidae. The record is from RNAcentral.